Non-coding RNA from Equus caballus (horse), 97 nucleotides. The record is from Rfam. Lineage: Eukaryota; Metazoa; Chordata; Mammalia; Perissodactyla; Equidae.
GUGGUUGCCGGGCGGGGGUUCUCUACUAGUGCUGUGCAGAGGCUUUCGCUGAGGCUGCUGUGAGACUGUAGAAUUUCCCCCUGGGCCACGGAGCCGG